AACAUGCAGUCGAACGAACCUUCGGGUUAGUGGCGGACGGGUGAGUACGCGUGAGAAUCUGCCCUCAGGAGGGGGAUAACGGUUGGAAACGACCGCUAAUACCCCAUAUGCCUAUUGGUGAAAUGAAUUUCGCCUGAGGAUGAGCUCGCGUCUGAUUAGCUAGUUGGUGAGGUAAUGGCUCACCAAGGCUUCGAUCAGUAGCUGGUCUGAGAGGAUGAUCAGCCACACUGGGACUGAGACACGGCCCAAACUCCUACGGGAGGCAGCAGUGGGGAAUCUUGCACAAUGGAGGAAACUCUGAUGCAGCGAUGCCGCGUGAGUGAAGAAGGCCUUUGGGUUGUAAAGCUCUUUCGUCGGGGAAGAAAAUGACGGUACCCGAAUAAGAAGGUCCGGCUAACUUCGUGCCAGCAGCCGCGGUAAUACGAAGGGACCUAGCGUAGUUCGGAAUUACUGGGCUUAAAGAGCUCGUAGGUGGUUACAAAAGUUGAUGGUGAAAUCCCAAGGCUCAACCUUGGAACUGCCAUCAAAACUUUUUAGCUAGAGUGUGAUAGAGGAAAGUGGAAUUUCUAGUGUAGAGGUGAAAUCCGUAGAUAUUAGAAAGAACACCAAAUGCGAAGGCAACUUUCUGGGUCACUACUGACACUGAGGAGCGAAAGCAUGGGUAGCGAAGAGGAUAGAUCCCUCGUAGUCCAGCUGUAAACGAUGUGUGCUAGACGUUGGAAAUAUAUUUUCAGUGUCGCAGCGAAAGA
RNAcentral lists this ribosomal RNA (749 nucleotides) under uncultured Alphaproteobacteria bacterium. RNAcentral's name for it is "bacterial SSU rRNA". It matches the Rfam family "Bacterial small subunit ribosomal RNA", at positions 52 to 858 of the family's 1533-position model. Lineage: Bacteria; Pseudomonadati; Pseudomonadota; Alphaproteobacteria. The record is from RNAcentral.